Long non-coding RNA from Trichosurus vulpecula (common brushtail), 202 nucleotides. RefSeq lists it as uncharacterized. The record is from RefSeq and is a predicted model, not a curated record. The transcript has 3 exons. NCBI's taxonomy places the organism in Eukaryota, Metazoa, Chordata, Mammalia, Diprotodontia, Phalangeridae.
CUGAAAGAAUUCUUCUGAAUUAUCAUCUCAUUGCAAAGUUACACAGGACAAGUUUGGAGGUGCCCAGCUGCUUCAAAGGAACUGUCUGCAUUCACAAUCAAUCAAUCAGGUGGGGGUAGGAGCAUUCCUCCUGGCUCUUCUGCUCAGCCCUGGUACCUACAUUGAAGACCUUGAUGGAUCCACCUGAUCCCUUUCUAUAUGU